This is a non-coding RNA of Meleagris gallopavo (turkey), 682 nucleotides long. NCBI's taxonomy places the organism in Eukaryota, Metazoa, Chordata, Aves, Galliformes, Phasianidae. The record is from RefSeq and is a predicted model, not a curated record.
UCAUAGCUGAGGACAGUGCUCUGGGCACUGCUGCUGGUACUGUUCUCCCCUGGGCCAGUGGGGGUCAGGGUGUGGUUCCUGAGUGAACAAUGUCUGCAAGGUGACAAUCAGCAUCUUGUUCCUGCCUUCUGCAAGGGUGAGCUGCAACAACAAGCCUUUCUCCUUUCCUUCCCACAGUAACCAGAUAUCACCCACAGCGAUAUAAAACACAGUAAAUAGAUAUUAUGUAUACAUAUACAUAGCUGAAAGUCACAGCUUGAAGCAGUGUUUGAGCACCCGGUGGGAAGGCAGGGCCAACCCAAGGAGCUCAGGUGCAUGGCAGUGCACCUGAGUGGCCAGAAGGGAUGGAGCCAGGAUGCACCCCUUCCUAAAACUCAUUUAAAGGUUGACAGUGGAGGCAAGAGGAUCUUGCUGGAGUUCCCUGCUUACCUGAGGCCCUCUAAAGAUUUGCUCAGCAGUUCUGGGAAUCAAGUGCACUGCCACACAAAAUCGUCUUUGCAUACAUUUGGCUAAAUGGCAUUAUUCCUGGCUGUUCAAUGACUACAUGCAGCAUUUGGGUAUGAAAUUUCUCCCCAGGAUCCCUGUGCACUGCUGUGCAGCUCCCACUCAUGACCCCAAACGCUGAACUCGGUGCAGGCAUUGCCCUGAGCCCAACGGAGGGCAGCAGCCAACCAACCUGAUC